ACUCCUACGGGAGGCAGCAGUGGGGAAUAUUGGACAAUGGGGGGAACCCUGAUCCAGCCAUGCCGCGUGUGUGAAGAAGGCCUUUUGGUUGUAAAGCACUUUAAGCGAGGAGGAGGCUACCGAGAUUAAUACUCUUGGAUAGUGGACGUUACUCGCAGAAUAAGCACCGGCUAACUCUGUGCCAGCAGCCGCGGUAAUACAGAGGGUGCAAGCGUUAAUCGGAUUUACUGGGCGUAAAGCGCGCGUAGGUGGCCAAUUAAGUCAAAUGUGAAAUCCCCGAGCUUAACUUGGGAAUUGCAUUCGAUACUGGUUGGCUAGAGUAUGGGAGAGGAUGGUAGAAUUCCAGGUGUAGCGGUGAAAUGCGUAGAGAUCUGGAGGAAUACCGAUGGCGAAGGCAGCCAUCUGGCCUAAUACUGACACUGAGGUGCGAAAGCAUGGGGAGCAAACAGGAUUAGAUACCCUGGUAGUCCAUGCCGUAAACGAUGUCUACUAGCCGUUGGGGCCUUUGAGGCUUUAGUGGCGCAGCUAACGCGAUAAGUAGACCGCCUGGGGAGUACGGUCGCAAGACUAAAACUCAAAGGAAUUGACGG
Molecule: ribosomal RNA, 590 nt
Filed under: uncultured bacterium
Lineage: Bacteria
Description: bacterial SSU rRNA
Rfam family: Bacterial small subunit ribosomal RNA
Source: RNAcentral